GGGUUGUGAGGUUAAGCGACUAAGCGUACACGGUGGAUGGCAGUCAGAGGCGAUGAAGGACGUGCUAAUCUGCGAAAAGCGUCGGUAAGGUGAUAUGAACCGUUAUAGCCGGCGAUGUCCGAAUGGGGAAACCCAGUGUGAUUCGUCACACUAUCGUUAACUGAAUACAUAGGUUAACGAGGCGAACCGGGGGAACUGAAACAUCUAAGUACCCCGAGGAAAAGAAAUCAACCGAGAUUCCCCCAGUAGCGGCGAGCGAACGGGGAGCAGCCCAGAGUCUGAAUCAGCUUGUGUGUUAGUGGAACGGUCUGGAAAGUCCGACGGUACAGGGUGAUAGUCCCGUACACCAAAAUGCACAGGUUGUGAACUCGAAGAGUAGGGCGGGACACGUGGUAUCCUGUCUGAAUAUGGGGGGACCAUCCUCCAAGGCUAAAUACUCCUGACUGACCGAUAGUGAACCAGUACCGUGAGGGAAAGGCGAAAAGAACCCCGGCGAGGGGAGUGAAAAAGAACCUGAAACCGUGUACGUACAAGCAGUGGGAGCACCUUCGGGUGUGACUGCGUACCUUUGUAUAAUGGGUCAGCGACUUAUAUUCUGUAGCAAGGUUAACCGUAUAGGGAGCCGCAGGGAAACCGAGUCUUAACUGGGCGUUAAGUUGCAGGGUAUAGACCCGAAACCCGGUGAUCUAGCCAUGGGCAGGUUGAAGGUUGGGUAACACUAACUGGAGGACCGAACCGACUAAUGUUGAAAAAUUAGCGGAUGACUUGUGGCUGGGGUGAAAGGCCAAUCAAACCGGGAGAUAGCUGGUUCUCCCGAAAGCUAUUUAGGUAGCGCCUCGUGAACUCAUCUUCGGGGGUAGAGCACUGUUUCGGCUAGGGGGUCAUCCCGACUUACCAACCCGAUGCAAACUACGAAUACCGAAGAAUGUUAUCACGGGAGACACACGGCGGGUGCUAACGUCCGUCGUGAAGAGGGAAACAACCCAGACCGCCAGCUAAGGUCCCAAAGUCAUGGUUAAGUGGGAAACGAUGUGGGAAGGCACAGACAGCCAGGAUGUUGGCUUAGAAGCAGCCAUCAUUUAAAGAAAGCGUAAUAGCUCACUGGUCGAGUCGGCCUGCGCGGAAGAUGUAACGGGCUAAACCAUGCACCGAAGCUGCGGCAGCGACACUAUGUGUUGUUGGGUAGGGGAGCGUUCUGUAAGCCUGCGAAGGUGGCCUGUGAGGGUUGCUGGAGGUAUCAGAAGUGCGAAUGCUGACAUAAGUAACGAUAAAGCGGGUGAAAAGCCCGCUCGCCGGAAGACCAAGGGUUCCUGUCCAACGUUAAUCGGGGCAGGGUGAGUCGACCCCUAAGGCGAGGCCGAAAGGCGUAGUCGAUGGGAAACAGGUUAAUAUUCCUGUACUUGGUGUUACUGCGAAGGGGGGACGGAGAAGGCUAUGUUAGCCGGGCGACGGUUGUCCCGGUUUAAGCAUGUAGGCUGAUUAUCCAGGCAAAUCCGGAUAAUCAAGGCUGAGGUGUGAUGACGAGGCACUACGGUGCUGAAGUAACAAAUGCCCUGCUUCCAGGAAAAGCCUCUAAGCAUCAGGUAACAUCAAAUCGUACCCCAAACCGACACAGGUGGUCAGGUAGAGAAUACCAAGGCGCUUGAGAGAACUCGGGUGAAGGAACUAGGCAAAAUGGUGCCGUAACUUCGGGAGAAGGCACGCUGGUGUGUAGGUGAAGUCCCUGCGGAUGGAGCUGAGACCAGUCGAAGAUACCAGCUGGCUGCAACUGUUUAUUAAAAACACAGCACUGUGCAAACACGAAAGUGGACGUAUACGGUGUGACGCCUGCCCGGUGCCGGAAGGUUAAUUGAUGGGGUUAUCCGUAAGGAGAAGCUCUUGAUCGAAGCCCGGUAAACGGCGGCCGUAACUAUAACGGUCCUAAGGUAGCGAAAUUCCUUGUCGGGUAAGUUCCGACCUGCACGAAUGGCGUAAUGAUGGCCAGGCUGUCUCCACCCGAGACUCAGUGAAAUUGAACUCGCUGUGAAGAUGCAGUGUACCCGCGGCAAGACGGAAAGACCCCGUGAACCUUUACUAUAGCUUGACACUGAACAUUGAGCCUUGAUGUGUAGGAUAGGUGGGAGGCUUUGAAGCGUGGACGCCAGUCUGCGUGGAGCCAACCUUGAAAUACCACCCUUUAAUGUUUGAUGUUCUAACGUUGGCCCCUGACCGGGGUUGCGGACAGUGUCUGGUGGGUAGUUUGACUGGGGCGGUCUCCUCCCAAAGCGUAACGGAGGAGCACGAAGGUUAGCUAAUCCUGGUCGGACAUCAGGAGGUUAGUGCAAUGGCAUAAGCUAGCUUGACUGCGAGCGUGACGGCGCGAGCAGGUGCGAAAGCAGGUCAUAGUGAUCCGGUGGUUCUGAAUGGAAGGGCCAUCGCUCAACGGAUAAAAGGUACUCCGGGGAUAACAGGCUGAUACCGCCCAAGAGUUCAUAUCGACGGCGGUGUUUGGCACCUCGAUGUCGGCUCAUCACAUCCUGGGGCUGAAGUAGGUCCCAAGGGUAUGGCUGUUCGCCAUUUAAAGUGGUACGCGAGCUGGGUUUAGAACGUCGUGAGACAGUUCGGUCCCUAUCUGCCGUGGGCGCUGGAGAAUUGAGGGGGGCUGCUCCUAGUACGAGAGGACCGGGUGGACGCAUCACUGGUGUUCGGGUUGUCAUGCCAAUGGCACUGCCCGGUAGCUAAAUGCGGAAGAGAUAAGUGCUGAAAGCAUCUAAGCACGAAACUUGCCCCGAGAUGAGUUCUCCCUGAGACUUUAAGUCUCCUGAAGGAACGUUAAAGACGAUGACGUUGAUAGGCCGGGUGUGUAAGCGCAGCGAUGCGUUGAGCUAACCGGUACUAAUGAACCGUGAGGCUUAACCUUACAACGCCGAAG
This 2911-nucleotide ribosomal RNA is filed under the name Klebsiella pneumoniae. RNAcentral describes it as "23S ribosomal RNA". It matches the Rfam family "Bacterial large subunit ribosomal RNA". The record is from RNAcentral. Lineage: Bacteria; Pseudomonadati; Pseudomonadota; Gammaproteobacteria; Enterobacterales; Enterobacteriaceae.